Molecule: ribosomal RNA, 344 nt
Filed under: Aspergillus tubingensis
Lineage: Eukaryota; Fungi; Ascomycota; Eurotiomycetes; Eurotiales; Aspergillaceae
Description: partial 18S ribosomal RNA
Rfam family: Eukaryotic small subunit ribosomal RNA
Source: RNAcentral
AAUCCAGUGGUUGUGGUUGACUUGCAUAGUUUUCCAGCUGUCAGCCCUGGGUCAUGAUAAUGAUGUCGAUGACGAAUCCACAAUAUAUACAUUUGUUUCGUCGUAUGUCAUUUCCAAUGCUACAGCACAUCCUGAAUGCCCCAUUCGGUGUCUCUUAAUGAUAUCGGCAGUACACGGAAAGAUGGGAACAGCAACUUUUGCAUGGCGACAGACAGGGCGACUAGGGAUCGGACGGUGUUUCUAUUAUGACCCGUUCGGCACCUUACGAGAAAUCAAAGUUUUUGGGUUCUGGGGGGAGUAUGGUCGCAAGGCUGAAACUUAAAGAAAUUGACGGAAGGGCACCA